This 508-nucleotide ribosomal RNA is filed under the name uncultured bacterium. RNAcentral describes it as "partial 16S ribosomal RNA". It matches the Rfam family "Bacterial small subunit ribosomal RNA", at positions 28 to 523 of the family's 1533-position model. The record is from RNAcentral.
GAUGAACGCUAGCUACAGGCUUAACACAUGCAAGUCGAGGGGAAACGAUAUUGGAAGCUUGCUUCCGAUAGGCGUCGACCGGCGCACGGGUGAGUAACGCGUAUCCAACCUGCCCAUCACUUGGGGAUAACCUUGCGAAAGUAAGACUAAUACCCAAUGAUAUCUCUAGAAGACAUCUGAAAGGGAUUAAAGAGUUAUCGGUGAUGGAUGGGGAUGCGUCUGAUUAGCUUGUUGGCGGGGUAACGGCCCACCAAGGCGACGAUCAGUAGGGGGUCUGAGAGGAAGGUCCCCCACAUUGGAACUGAGACACGGUCCAAACUCCUACGGGAGGCAGCAGUGAGGAAUAUUGGUCAAUGGGCGAGAGCCUGAACCAGCCAAGUAGCGUGCAGGAUGACGGCCCUAUGGGUUGUAAACUGCUUUUAUAAGGGAAUAAAGUGGGAGUCGUGACUCCUUUUGCAUGUACCUUAUGAAUAAGGACCGGCUAAUUCCGUGCCAGCCGCCGCCGUAA